UGGGUAUCCGAUUUUACAUCUCAUCAACCCUGUGACAUACCUAUAACGUUGCCUCGGCGGGAACAGACGGCCCCGUAACACGGGCCGCCCCCGCCAGAGGACCCCCUAACUCUGUUUCUAUAAUGUUUCUUCUGAGUAAACAAGCAAAUAAAUUAAAACUUUCAACAACGGAUCUCUUGGCUCUGGCAUCGAUGAAGAACGCAGCGAAAUGCGAUAAGUAAUGUGAAUUGCAGAAUUCAGUGAAUCAUCGAAUCUUUGAACGCACAUUGCGCCCGCCAGUAUUCUGGCGGGCAUGCCUGUUCGAGCGUCAUUACAACCCUCAGGCCCCCGGGCCUGGCGUUGGGGAUCGGCGGAAGCCCCCUGCGGGCACAACGCCGUCCCCCAAAUACAGUGGCGGUCCCGCCGCAGCUUCCAUUGCGUAGUAGCUAACACCUCGCAACUGGAGAGCGGCGCGGCCACGCCGUAAAACACCCAACUUCUGAAUGUUGACCUCGAAUCAGGUAGGAAUACCCGCUGAACUUAAGCAUAUCAAUAAGCGGAGGAA
This 544-nucleotide ribosomal RNA is filed under the name Fusarium solani. Its description in RNAcentral is "eukaryotic LSU rRNA". The stretch from base 157 to 310 matches the Rfam family "5.8S ribosomal RNA". Lineage: Eukaryota; Fungi; Ascomycota; Sordariomycetes; Hypocreales; Nectriaceae. The record is from RNAcentral.